UUACAGGGCUUUGACUCUUGGGUCUGAAGAAGGCACCAGCCCCUGCUAAAUUCUGGCCAUUGACACUAGUUGAAGCCUCAUCCUCAGAUUUGGAAGAAGGUGGUCUGGAGAUUUCCUGCCUUCCGAAGCUUGUCUGGGAGGCAGGAAGACCACGAUGGAGGAGAAAGAAGCACAUCUACAAACCUGCUUCUCAUUGACACCCCUGCCUUUCUUUGAGAGACCUUCGGAGGAGGCACUUGGUGGAGAAAGUGCUCCAGCUGACACUCUGAGUCGUGCAGCUUGGGGUGGGGUCUGGAUGAUGUACGCUUCCACUCUAAGACGGGGGGCCAGCAGAAUCGCCCAGGCCAGGCUGUGGCAGAUGCGCUGUCCCUCUUACAGGCAGGUGAAUCGGGAGCUGUCCCUCUGCCUGGAAUACUCCCCUAAGGCCCUCCAAGCUGCAUGGAGAAUGUCACCUGCUGCAGUCAACUCAUCUGGGCCUGAACUGCUGGAUGACUGACCUGAGGUUCCUCUGACUGGAAGGACACUGGGAGAGCUGCUUGGGCCUCCCUUGGUGAUGUCCCUCGUCCCUUUGCAUGGACACUGUCAGGAGGCCCUCUGUCCCCUCCUCAGGUGGUCCCAGACGUAGCCGGUCCUGCUGCCCACAGGAACGACCCUGAUCACAACCUUUAUGUUGGCUUUCCUCCUGCCCGGUCUCACCUCCCCACUCCUCCCCUGCUGCUCCCCGGGUCCGCUCCCAAAUAAACCCCCGCACCUAAGUCUCUGCUCUAGGCUCUGCUCUCAGGGGAGCUCAAGAUGAGCCUCCACAGGGAGGUCUUCCCUGACCACUUAGAGGAGGCUGGGUCACCCUGUUGGACACUCUGGCCACUCCCUGCACUUCCCAUUCUCAGUACUUAAAGGCCUUGUGAUUAAGAAAGUUUUGGUGUAGUUAUUUAUUCCUAUCUCUCUCCCGACUAGGCUAUAAACUCCCAAGGCAGAGAAGAGUCUGUCCUGUUAACCAUUUUUGCUCAGAGCGCAUAGUAGGUGCUGAGAACUAAAAAUCAAAUCCUAAGCCCUCCAACAGACUGAACAGACCCACUCUUGGCGAAGGGGACCUAGGAGAAACCUUAAAAACCGAGUUCCUGGCCAUGAUGGGACAGGAGGCCAAACACAUCUCACUAUGCCCCUUCCUUAUUAACUUUUAACCAGAAUUCCUUCCCAAGGAGUAAACAGAUUUGGAAAACAAGAAACAGAUGACUCAUUUCCUUUAUCACCUUUAGCCAGUCGUCUGAGGCCAUGACCAGACUCCCUCUUCCUCUUUGCAGUUUUGACAUGACAGCUCACCAGUUUCAUAAUGGUAUCCCUUCUUAAAAACUGACCACCCUCCAGCUU
Long non-coding RNA from Cercocebus atys (sooty mangabey), 1368 nucleotides. RefSeq lists it as uncharacterized. The record is from RefSeq and is a predicted model, not a curated record. NCBI's taxonomy places the organism in Eukaryota, Metazoa, Chordata, Mammalia, Primates, Cercopithecidae. The transcript has 2 exons.